UGUCCUGGUACUGUGAGGCAGCAGUACUAACCACUGAGCCACCAUAUUAAGGAUCUAAUCUACUUCUGAUUUCCUCACAUAGGUUCAAUUGGAGCAUGACCAAUAGCAAGGCUCAUCAUUGCUGCUCCUGCGGUGAGUUGUCGACAACAUUGCAAAAAGGAACUCAGUGGACUCCAAUUAGGAGAAACCUUCAAGAAACAACCUGAAAUUAACAUUUAUCUGAUUUCUGGUAAAACCUGGAUUUUGGCAAUAUCAUGGAGACUGGAAUAUCCGAAAUUGUGAAACAAAACAUGGAUCCCCAAGUGUCCAUAUUACAGAGGAGGAGGUGUUGGGAAUCUUAUAAUGCAUUAAGAUGGAUAAAUGCCCAAGACCUGAUCAGGUUUAUCCCAGGGAAGUGAUGACUGGGACCCUUGCUGAGAUACUUGUAUCACCGAUAGCCAUGGCAGCAACAACAAAAACAGCGGAAAUGAAACAUUGGAGGACCGUUUAUUUUGUGCACUCUGAAGGCUUCAUGAGCCACAGGUGAGAAACUGGCCAUUUUGACCCCAGAAUGUGAGAAAGCACCAUUUUCGGAAUAGAAGUGUGGAAAAUCCUGACAGUAAGAAAUCCUCUGCUAAGGAAAUCAGGAGACUAAAGAUGCCUCCAAAUGAGAUAAUGGCUGAGCAGGAGCAACAUCUUCUGCAAUGAUCAUCUAAUAGAUAAAAAGGAGCCCUGCCGAAGACAGACUUUGCAGAUGUCAUAAGGUCUGGAACAGAAUCAAAGUCAAUGGUUUUCAAGCCAAAGACCAAACAUCCAAGUUGAAAGAGAAUGUGUUUUGAAAGAAUUAUGAAACCUGCAUACCAACUGAAUUGGUGAAAUUAGAGAUUUUUGGUAAAGAGGGGAAUUGGGAAGGUGAUGUAGUAAAUGUAAAUAUAUGCAAAUGCAUGAAAUCUCAG
Chiloscyllium plagiosum (whitespotted bambooshark) is the source of this 935-nucleotide long non-coding RNA. RefSeq lists it as uncharacterized. The record is from RefSeq and is a predicted model, not a curated record. Lineage: Eukaryota; Metazoa; Chordata; Chondrichthyes; Orectolobiformes; Hemiscylliidae.